CUUAUCCUGCCGUGUGCGACUGCUUGUCAGUUUUUCAACCACGGAUGUAAUACGGGAGCCCAGGUUCAUAAGUAGAUGACAGGCCAUCUGCUGGUGGAAGUCAAAAGUUUGUGACCAGGCACCCACCUGGGAGAGGUGGGUUUGAAAAAACGAUGAGUGACGGCACGGUGGGGCAGUU
RNAcentral lists this non-coding RNA (178 nucleotides) under Bacillota bacterium. RNAcentral describes it as "6S RNA". It matches the Rfam family "6S / SsrS RNA". From Rfam's summary of the family: E. coli 6S RNA was the first non coding RNA to be sequenced, but its function was unknown until recently. Lineage: Bacteria; Bacillati; Bacillota. The record is from RNAcentral.